RNAcentral lists this ribosomal RNA (462 nucleotides) under uncultured bacterium. Its description in RNAcentral is "partial 16S ribosomal RNA". It matches the Rfam family "Bacterial small subunit ribosomal RNA", at positions 28 to 507 of the family's 1533-position model. The record is from RNAcentral.
GACGAACGCUGGCGGCGUGCUUAACACAUGCAAGUCGAACGGAAAGGCCCUUCGGGGUACUCGAGUGGCGAACGGGUGGGUAACACGUGGGUGAUCUGCCCUGCACUUUGGGAUAAGCCUGGGAAACUGGGUCUAAUACCGAAUAGGACCACGCGCUUCAUGGUGUGUGGUGGAAAGCUUUUGCGGUGUGGGAUGGGCCCGCGGCCUAUCAGCUUGUUGGUGGGGUAAUGGCCUACCAAGGCGACGACGGGUAGCCGGCCUGAGAGGGUGACCGGCCACACUGGGACUGGGAUACGGCCCAGACUCCUACGGGAGGCAGCAGUGGGGAAUAGUGCACAAUGGGCGCAAGCCUGAUGCAGCGACGCCGCGUGGGGGAUGACGGCCUUCGGGUUGUAAACCUCUUUCAAUAGGGACGAAGCGAAAGUGACGGUACCUAUAGAAGAAGCACCGGCCAACUACGUG